Molecule: microRNA, 21 nt
Filed under: Ananas comosus (pineapple)
Lineage: Eukaryota; Viridiplantae; Streptophyta; Magnoliopsida; Poales; Bromeliaceae
Description: microRNA s1231_c025b
Source: RNAcentral
CUCGCUAACAUAAAUAUUGUC